GGUGGCUCAGUGGUAGAGCACUUGCCUUGCAUGCAUGAGACCCUGGGUUCGAUUCCCCAGCACCA
Molecule: transfer RNA, 65 nt
Filed under: Dipodomys ordii (Ord's kangaroo rat)
Lineage: Eukaryota; Metazoa; Chordata; Mammalia; Rodentia; Heteromyidae
Rfam family: tRNA
About the family: Transfer RNA (tRNA) molecules are approximately 80 nucleotides in length. Their secondary structure includes four short double-helical elements and three loops (D, anti-codon, and T loops).
Source: Rfam by way of RNAcentral